RNAcentral lists this ribosomal RNA (450 nucleotides) under uncultured bacterium. RNAcentral describes it as "bacterial SSU rRNA". It matches the Rfam family "Bacterial small subunit ribosomal RNA", at positions 29 to 526 of the family's 1533-position model. The record is from RNAcentral.
AACGAACGCUGGCGGCAGGCCUAACACAUGCAAGUCGAACGCACCUUCGGGUGAGUGGCAGACGGGUGAGUAACGCGUGGGAACGUGCCUUUCGGUUCGGAAUAACCCAGGGAAACUUGGGCUAAUACCGGAUACGCCCUCAGGGGGAAAGAUUUAUCGCCGAAAGAUCGGCCCGCGUCGGAUUAGCUUGUUGGUGGGGUAAUGGCCUACCAAGGCAACGAUCCGUAGCUGGUCUGAGAGGAUGAUCAGCCACACUGGGACUGAGACACGGCCCAGACUCCUACGGGAGGCAGCAGUGGGGAAUAUUGGACAAUGGGCGAAAGCCUGAUCCAGCCAUGCCGCGUGGGUGAAGAAGGCCUUAGGGUUGUAAAUCCCUUUCAGCGGGGAAGAUAAUGACGGUACCCGCAGAAGAAGCCCCGGCUAACUCCGUGCCAGCCGCCGCCGUAAGAC